Molecule: long non-coding RNA, 219 nt
Filed under: Gossypium raimondii (Peruvian cotton)
Lineage: Eukaryota; Viridiplantae; Streptophyta; Magnoliopsida; Malvales; Malvaceae
Description: long non-coding RNA (GRAI_LNC006170)
Source: RNAcentral
AAGCGGAGUUCUCGAAAAUCCACAAGCAAAAUCAUUUUUUUUAAAUAAAGAACAAAAAGAAAAAAAAAAACAAAGAAAGGGGGAAGAGGAGAAUGUCUAGAAAUAAUAAUAAAAAAUAAAAAUAAGAAAUAAAUAGUUAUAUUUUUAACUUAAACAAAACUGCUACUUAAUAAAACAAAAUAAGAAUAUUUCUCCAAAAUGCACACACAAAGACUUAAC